GGAAGUGUGCCCGAAAUAGGGAACUCCUUGAUAGGGAGAACCACGAGGGUU
This 51-nucleotide transfer RNA is filed under the name Pristimantis thymelensis (Thymelen robber frog). RNAcentral's name for it is "partial tRNA-Ile". Lineage: Eukaryota; Metazoa; Chordata; Amphibia; Anura; Strabomantidae. The record is from RNAcentral.